CGCGCGCGGGCGCCCCACCGCUGCUGCAGCCCGCAGGGACCGGAGACAUGCGGAGUCUGUUGUCUGUCGUCUUCGCAGGGCUACGAGCGAACUUUAGGUUUUAACCAAGAAGCAAGAAAGAAGGACUGAUUUUGCCAGGCACACGGAGCUUCCCAUUGUUUCUACUCUUCAGGAUCCAUCGUAGUGCCUUCUCCAUGAAGUCUUCCCUUCUGCUCCCUAGAACUCUGUGGGUGGCUCAGUCCAGGCUGCCCUAGUACAUUUAUUUUUUUGGCUGCUUCCUCUAAUCCAGCAGUUACUUAAAAAUUCCAUUAAGGCAGAUAUAUAAACUUAAUAUAUACUUUCAGUGCCUUGAACAGUCCUUUACAAUUCAUAGGUGCUUGUUGACUUAAUUUCAUUUUCAAAAGGAACUUUGAUUUCAAAGGAUGUCAGGAUGUCAAAAAAAAAAAAAAAGGUUUUGCAGCAUGGUCCCUAAUUUGAUGUCAUAAUGUUUAAGUAUUGUAUUACAUUAACAUGCUACGAGGAACCAUCUUAAAGGAGGGGCUUUAGCUUUGUGAGAUUCUUUCCUCCGUUUUGGAAUUCCAUGCCUGGCCCUAGCUUUGGAAACUCACCAUAGAAGUACAGGAAGCAAGACACAAUAGAGACGAUGAAGAUGUCAAGAAGGCAGUGAAUGAAUAUGAUGACAUCCUGGAGACGUAUAUUCCUGUAUUGAUGGCCCAGGCAGAAAAUCUACUGGAACCUCGAAAGUUAUUCAAUGGUAGAAGAGAUCUUUCGCAAAUCUGUGGAAUUCUGCAAUGAGCAUGAUGUGUGGAAGCUGACUGUGGCUCAUGUUCUCUUCACAAAAACAAAUACAAAGACGCCAUCGGUUUUUAUGAGCCCGUAGUCAAGAAGCACUAUGACAACAUCCUGAAUGUCAGUGCUACUGUACUGGCUCACCUCUGUGUUUCAUACAUUAUGACAAGUCAAAAUGAAGAAGCUGAGGAGUUGAUGAGGAAGACUGAAAAGGAGGAAGAUCAGCUCUCCUAUGAUGACCCAGAUGAGAAAAACUACCAUCUGUGGAUUUGCUGAUAGGGACACUUUACUGUGCCAAAGGAAAUUAUGACUUUGGGAUUUCUCGAGUUAUCAAAAGCUUGGAACCUUAUAAUAAAAAACUUGGAACUGAUACCUGGUAUUAUGCCAAAAGACGCUUCUUGUCUUUAUUACAGAACAUGUCAUAAUACAUGAUCAUGUUUUGUGAGAGUGUUACUCAAGAAUGUGUUCAGUUUCUAGAACACUGUGAACUUCAUGGCGGGAAUGUACCUGCCAUUAUUGAACAACUCCUAGAAGAGGAAAGAACACAUAUUGGAAAGAAUGCAGUCACAUAUGAAUUCAGACAGUUAAAAGCUUUGAUUUAUGAGAUUAUAGGAUGGAAUAUGUAGUCAUGUCUGAUAAUGGUUUGCAUCAUACUGGCUUUAUAUCUGUAUUUUAUACUGUUUUAUUUGUAUUUAGCCAUUGGCAUCUUUACUUUGUUACAUGUUGAACUUUGUACACUUUACAAUUAUUUAA
Long non-coding RNA from Myotis brandtii (Brandt's bat), 1542 nucleotides. RefSeq lists it as uncharacterized. The record is from RefSeq and is a predicted model, not a curated record. The transcript has 2 exons. Lineage: Eukaryota; Metazoa; Chordata; Mammalia; Chiroptera; Vespertilionidae.